Molecule: long non-coding RNA, 246 nt
Filed under: Junco hyemalis (dark-eyed junco)
Lineage: Eukaryota; Metazoa; Chordata; Aves; Passeriformes; Passerellidae
Description: lncRNA (ENSJHYG00000016044.1)
Source: RNAcentral
UUUAUUGGGGGGGGGGAAUCCAAAAAAUUUGGGGUCGGAAUCGCAAAAUUUGGGGUCGGGGUACAAAAAAUGGGGCUGGGGUCCCGAAAUUUGGGGUCGGAAUCACAAAAUUUAGGGCUAGGACCCCGAAAUUUGGGGUCAAGGUCCCAAAAUUUGGGUCCAGAACCUCAAAAUUUGGGGUCGGAAUCACAAAAUUUGGGGCUGGGGUCCCAAAAUUUGGGGUCGGGGUCCCAGAAAUGGGGCUGG